Molecule: unclassified non-coding RNA, 25664 nt
Filed under: Sitophilus oryzae (rice weevil)
Lineage: Eukaryota; Metazoa; Arthropoda; Insecta; Coleoptera; Curculionidae
Description: twitchin, transcript variant X6
Source: RNAcentral
GGGGGGGAACCCUCGCCGCGCUGGAUUAGACCCGAAGUACACAUUGGACUCCUUUAGUCAGUGCUUUGGAGGCCACCAAGCAAACUUUAGGAUAGACGAACGACUCGACGACGCGCGUGCGACGGGAACGACCACGUACACCGCGAUCCGCGAAGUGUGUGUUGUGCAGUGUAGAGUGUUUGGGCUACCAACCCUCUACUAAACCUCAACCUCCACCCCUUGCGUGAAGCAGGGUUCAUGUUCACGAUAGCAGGGUAACAGAACAGAGUUAGCAUGGGAGUGGCGGAGGAUUUCGCUCCCAGCUUCACCCAGAAGCCGCAGCUGAGGCAGGAGGACGACGGCAACAAGCUCGUCUUCGAAUGCCAGCUGCUCGCAUCACCCCAGCCCGAAAUACAAUGGUUCCGUAGCGACACACUUCUUCAGGAAGACACAAGGACCAAUUUCAAAAUCCAGCCCAUCGGUACCAACAAGUACUUGGUGGUGUUGGAACUAGACGAUGUGAUCGAGACAGAUGCAGGCCUGUACAAGGUCAAAGCGAAGAACACCAUGGGGGAAGUUGCAGCGUCGAUCAACCUCAACUUCAGCCCAAUGGACGAGCCAAAAGAAAAACAAAUCGAUGGUCUAGCACCAACUUUUGCGAAGAAACCUGCCAUUCGGCAAGAAGAAGACGGCAAAAAGCUUCUUUUCGAAUGUCGGAUUCAAGCGGAUCCUCGUCCAGUCGUCAGUUGGUUCCACAAUAACAAUUCCGUUAAAGAAAGUCCCCGUCAUAAGUUGAGGAUAGACAAGGAUGGACACUCGUACUUUGCGACCCUUGAAAUAAUAAAUGUCACAGUUGAGGAUGCUGGCAAAUACAAGGUGACUGCAAAGAACGAGCUUGGAGAGAGUAACGCGACGAUCAGUCUCAACUUUGACAGCGGAGAUGAUGCGGCAGGUUUCGCGCCCUCCUUCAUCGAGAAACCCAAAAUCAUACCCAACGAGAGCGGAACGCUCAUUACCAUGAAAUGCAAGUGCAAGGCCAAGCCCAAGCCUGAAGUCACUUGGUUCCGGGGAACCACAGCCGUCCAGGAAUCGUCCAAAAUCACCAUACGAGUCGUCGAUGUACAAGAAGACGUUUACGAACUCGUUCUAGAGAUCAAAGAUCCUGCGGGUUCUGAUGGAGGUACUUACCGGUGCCAUGUGAAAAACGAAUUUGGAGAAAGCAACGCCAAUCUGAACCUGAACAUCGAGGCUGAACCGGAGCCUGAAGGUGACGGUCCCACAUUUGUCGAAAAACCAAGGAUCACCUCCCACCAAGGAGGCAAAUUGGUCGUUAUGGAGUGUAAGGUACGUUCUAACCCGACGCCGACGAUAGUUUGGUACCGGGAAGGAAACAAGGUUACCGAAUCCUCCAAGAUCACGAUGAGUUUCGAAAAAGUCGAAGAAGAUGUAUAUUACAUCAAACUAGAACUAAAAGACCCCGGACUAGAAGAUUCCGGUCUCUAUAAAUGUAACAUUAAGAACACUUUCGGAGAGCUUAACGCUAACCUUACUCUGAACAUCGAAAUUAUACCAGUUAUUAAAGAAAAACCGAAGGUUAUCAAGAUAAUUAAAAAGAAAACAGUUAUUGUCGAGUGCAAAGUACUCAGCAAGUUUGCACCUGAGUGCACUUGGUUUAAAGAAGAUAACGCGGUUAGGGAAGACAACAGACAUCAAGUACAAGUGGAGCAAGUCAAAGACGGUGAAUUUGCCGUAAAACUUGAAAUUUCCGACGUCCAAAAAACCGACAAAGGUUUAUAUAAAUUAGUAGCCAAAAACGAGAAGGGAGAAGCUACUUCACAAACUGUCGAAGUAACCGAACUCCCACCCGAUGAGAAGCCCAAAGGCGAGAAGCCAAAACUUACAAAACUCACUAACAUCACAAUUGAAGAAGGAAAAACAGCUGAUUUCAUUUCCUCCCUCAAAGUAGCUGACAAAAGCGUCACUAUCACUUGGUACAAGGAAAGUACAGUUAUAAAGGAAUCUAGCGACAUAAAAAUAUCAUUCGAUGGCACUGUAACACGGCUUACCAUCAGCAAAUGCAAAGUCACCCAUUCUUCCACAUACAGAGUCAUUGCUAAAAACGAAUUUGGUGAGGAUGAAGCCACGGCAGUAUUGACGGUCAAAAAGAGGAAAGACGAAGAGGAGGAGGAAGAAGAGGAGGAAAGCGAGGAAGAAAUAUCAGAAAUCAAAGAAAAAAAGAUGGAAUCGGAUGAAGAAGAGGUAGAGGAAUCAGAGGAGGAAGAGGAAGUAAAAAAGACAGUAGAAAAGAAAGAGGAAAAGAAAGAGGAAAAGAAAGAAGAGAAAAAGGUAGAAAAGAAAGUUGAGAAAAAGGCAGAAGAAAAAAAGGAAGAAACCAAAGUAGUGCAAAAGAAGGAGGAAGAAAAGAAGGUAAAUGAUAUCGCUAAAAAGGAUACGAAAAAAGAGGAGGAAACAAAAACCGAGGAGAAAAAAGCAGUGAGACGUUCUUCCGUUCAAAAGGUUGAAAAGACUGAAUCGCGCAGAAGUUCCAUAGUCACCGAAGAAAAAAUAAUUAAAGACGGCGAAAAGAAAUCGGCCAGUCGUAAAUCUUCAAUAGUAACCAAGGAAGAAGAAUCAAAGACUGAAACUAGACGCACAUCAGUGGCUGAAGACAAAACCAAAAAAGUCUCUGCGGGCGCUAAAAAAUUAGAACCCACCCCUGAAGCGAAAACACCAACCACACCUAUAAACAAUGUAGACGACAUAUUCGCCGCCAAAAAAACCGAACCUGAAAAACUCAAAUCACCUCCACCAAAAGACGCUGCUAAACCGAAAGCAGCCUCCAAAGUGAAAUCACCCCCUCCGGCUGAAACAAAAGAAACACCAAAGCCUACUACACCCGCAUCAAAAAUUAAGUCACCCCCACCAGCGGAAACACCCAAACCCAAAGAACCCGAACCAGCUAAGGUUGAACCAAAAGCUAAAACUCCUUUAGAAAAGAAGGCUGAACCACCUAAAUCCGAAGAACCCGCUCCCAAUCUAAGCAAAACACGUACAGGUCUUAAGAAGGUUGAGGAGAAAACUGCAGAAGCCACGAAACUGAAGACCGAAACUGAACCGCAAAAACCCAAACCCAAACUUCCUCCAAAAAAUCCGGUUCAGAAAGGCAGUUUCUUAGGCAUUCAAUUAAAGCCGGUGAAAAAAGAAGCCAAAACUGUCGAAAAUGUUCAAAUAGAAACCGACCUGAAGUCCACUGAAGUGAAAAAAUCAGAAAAGGCUGCCGUGUCUAAAGGCAAAAAAGACGAAAAAUUUGACUACAACGCAUGGGAAAAUAUUCCUGAUUACGACAGGCCCGUUUUAGAAAAGUUCGAGCCUCACGAGAAAGUCGACUAUGCCGGUAGAGAAAAAACCAAACUUUCCAAGGAAAAACCACUCUUGGCUACGGAAGCCAAAGAAAAGCCUACUUUAGCAGCCGAACAGAAGGCUGUACCGACGGUUCCUCAAAUCAAAACUCCCGAGGCACCUAAAAUCGAGGUUAUCAAAGAACGAACUCCAGAACCGAGGAAGAAGUCGUUGGAACCCCAACAGGGCAGUGGUAGCAGAAGAGGUUCCUUAAUACCUCCCGAAGCUAUGGGCCGAAGGGCUAGUUUGAUCAUCUCUGACGAGGAACAUAGAAAACUGAGGCCAGGCGAGGUGUUAGAAGAGAAAAAGCGUCGGAGACCCAGCUCAGAAGUGAGGAGACCAAGUGUUGCUGAAUUAGAGGAUAAAAUUAAUAAACCGUCAACACCACUUAAACCUUCAGGACCUAAAGGAUCACCACCCAGUAUAAUAGACGUCCAAGAGAAUUAUUCAUCAGUUGAAGAUCAAGUGGCUUAUAUCAGUCUGCAAGUAGAAGGUGACCCUGUCCCGACAUUCAAAUUUUACAAGGGCGUAACCGAAAUCAUAGAAGGUGGUAGAUUUAAAUUUCUGACAGAUGGAGAGACGAAUACUAUUACUUUAUGUAUCAGAAAAGUCAAGCCUAACGAUGAGGGGCAGUACAAAGUUGUUGUUUCCAACGUUCAUGGCGAAGAUACUGCCGAGAUGAUGCUUUACGUAGCCGGUGCUGCUGGUGUUGAUUUCCGAUCAAUGUUGAUGAAGAGGAAAUACGCCAAAUGGGACAAGGAUAAGGGUGACCCUGAUUGGGGUGAUUUGAAGGAAGUUGAAAAACCAGUUCCAGCGCUUAAGAAAGUAGAAAAGAAACAAGAAAGCUUCUUGAGACCUCUCGUUGACCAGUAUGCCAAGGAAGGUAAAGAUAAGAAAGUCGUGUUUGAAGCAGGGUUCUCCAAACCAAACUGCAAGCCAAAGUGGCUCGUUAGGAAAGAUGAGCUUUUCCAAGGCGCAAAAUACAAAUUCAAAAACGAAAACGACAUGUACCAACUGAUCAUCAUGAACCCCAAGGUUGAGGACUCUGGAAAAUACUCGAUUGAAAUUGGUGGAGUCAGUUGCACAGCUUUCUUAAACGUUGAAGAACCAGAUCCAUCCUACACUUUCACUAAACCCCUUAAGAAGAAGUACGAUGGAUACACUGAGCACGAAGUAGAACUCUCUUGUACAGUGAGCAACAGCUUGGCUAUUGUUGGUUGGUACAAAGGCGACGUCAAACUAGAUGAUGGACCUAAAUACCAAAUUUCGAAGGAUUUAAGCGGAGUAUGCCGACUUACUAUAAAAGACUGUACCUUCGACGACAUCGCAGAAUACAGCUGUAAAUUAGAAAAGCAAACAGAUAAAACAACUGCUAAAGUAAACAUUGUUGAUUAUCCAUACAAGUUUGUAAAAGUUUUAAAACAUCAGCAACAUGUAGAAAAGGAAAAUAUCACGUUCCUGUGUGAAUUAAACGAUGCUGGAGGUGAAGUCAAAUGGUUCAAAGGCGACCAAGAAAUCGUUGCUGACAAAAGACUGGUCAUCAGUAAAGAUGGCAGGAAGCGCAAGUUGGUUAUCAAAGACGCUAAAGUCACCGAUGCUGGAAUGUAUUCCUGUGUCAGUAAUGCUGACAAAACCGAAGCUGAAUUAGUAGUAAACUAUCUCAACAGAUUCAACAAAAAACUAAAAGACACAGUUGCCGUUGAAAGAGAAAAACUGGUCCUUGAUAUCGAACUUGAAGAUCAAACUGCCCCAGCCGAGUGGUUCUUCAAUGGAAAACCAAUUGAACCUUCAGACAGGAUCGAAAUUAAGAAUCUCGGAGGAGGUAAACAUCAACUAAUCUUCAACAAACUAGACAUGGAGGAUGACGGUGAAAUCAGAGUAGAGUCAGGAAAAUUAGAAUCUUCCAUGAAAUUAUCAGUGAAAAAGGGUGAAAGCAUCCCUAAAAUUGAUUUUCCAUCUGUCUUUGAAGCACCUAUUAGCAAGCCUAUCUUAAUGGAAGUCCCUUACAAAGUCGAAGGAACCCGUCAAAGUCAGUUAGAAGCUAAACUAAUCAAAGACGGAAAAGUUCUUCCCAUCAAAGACGUAGAUGUCUCCAUAACCGACGAUAAAGUUACGUUCAAAAUCAAGAAACCAACUAGAGAUCAAUCCGGUCCGUACCAAGUGAAAUUAUCUAAUGCCCAAGGAGAAGAUGUGAAAGACGUCAAGAUCAUAAUGCAGGACGUUCCUCAGCCUCCUCAAGAUGUCAACGUUACUGACGUUUUCCAAGAUAACUGCAAAGUUGCUUGGAAAGCUCCUAGUGAUGAUGGUGGAGCGCCUAUUCUACAUUACGUUAUCGAACGCCAAGAUCUGAGCUUGAAAGCCCAAUGGGAGAGCGUUGGUGAAGUCAAACAAGGCCAACCGACGACUUUUAAAGUCGAAGGGUUAAUACCUAAAAAACAAUAUAAGUUCAGAAUAAGGGCAGUAAACAAACUAGGCUCCAGUGAGCCAGGCCUCUUUGCCAAGCCAGUUCUUGCUAAAGAUCCAUGGGAUGAGCCUAGCAAGCCCCAAAACGUCGAAGUUGUUGACUGGGACAAGGAUCAUGCCGAUCUCACAUGGAAGGCACCUGAAAGUGACGGUGGUGCGCCUAUUACUGGAUAUAUAAUCGAAGUUAAAGAUAAAUUUGGAAAAGAAUGGACCAAAGGGCUUGAAGUGGAAGGAGAUCAGCUCUCUGGAACCGUCCCUGGUUUAAAAGAAAACAAUCAGUACGAAUUCCGAGUUAGGGCAGUGAAUAAAGCCGGACCUGGUGAACCUAGCGACACAACAAAACCUAUUAUUGCCAAAUGUAGAUUUGUUAAACCAUUUAUCAUCGGUGACGACUUGAAGAGUAUUAUUAUCAAAAAAGGACAAAUCGUCAAAUAUGAUAUUAAAUAUGGUGGAGAACCCGAGCCUACAGUUCAAUGGUUCCUCGACCAAAAAGAAAUUAAACCAGAUAGUGAAGAACGCGUUACAAUCGACGCCUAUGAAAAGAACACCAUCAUCACAGUAAGAAGAGCUACACGAGCUGACAGUGGCAAAUACCGCCUUGUCCUCACUAACAGUUCCGGUACUUGCGAAGGAAAAGCCGAAGUAAUUGUUCUGGAUAAACCAACGGCUCCCAAGGGACCUUUAGAACCAGAGGAAAUUAGAGCUGAUCACGUAACAGUGAAGUGGCAAAGACCAGAGGACGCCGGAGGCACCGAGCUAACUGGUUAUGUCCUGGAAAAAAUGGACAUGGAUACCGGAAGAUGGGUAUCCGCGGGAGAAGUUGGUCCUGGAGAUACAAAAUUCACUUUCAAAGGUCUCACUCCUAAAAAGAAAUACAAGUUCAGGGUUAGGGCUAAGAACAAGGAGGGCGAAUCGGAACCACUGGAAACUUCCGAUUUUAUUCUUGCGAAAAAUCCUUACGAUGAACCGGGAGCGCCGGGAAAACCUGAAAUCAUCGACUAUGAUAACAAGAGCGUCACUUUGAAGUGGGCCAAACCCGAAAACGACGGAGGAAGGCCCAUCACUCACUACACCGUCGAAAUGAAAGACAAGUUCUCUCCUGAUUGGAAGGAAGUGGCCACAACCUCAGACAGUAACCCAGAAGCAAAGGUAGAAGGACUUAAAGAAAAUCAGGUGUAUCAGUUUAGAGUGAGAGCACACAAUAAGGCCGGACCUAGUGUUCCCUCUGAACCUACCGAUAACCAUCUCUGCAAGCAUAAGAACUUAAAACCAAGAAUUGACCGAGAAACCUUCAAAUCAGUCACGAUUAAGGCUGGCCGUACCCACAAAUGGGCCGUAGACUUUAUGGGUGAGCCUCCACCGGAAGUCAAGUGGGUAUGGAGAGACAACAUUCCACUUACGAACACCGAACGCAUCAAAAUCGAAAAUUCCGAUUACCAUACAGACUUCACGCUACAUAACGCAGUACGAAAAGACACGGGAAAAUAUACGCUUAUCAUUGAAAAUUGCAAUGGAAAGGACCAAGAAACCGUCGAAUUGACGGUUCUGAGCAAACCGGGAGCUCCAGAAGGACCGCUCCAGGUCAGCGACGUCACUGCCGAAAAGGCCAAGAUUAGCUGGAAGAAACCAGAGGACGAUGGUGGCAGUCCAAUCAAGGAAUACGAAAUCGAAAAGAUGGACGUCGCCACAGGGAAGUGGGUCCGCUGUGGUCGUGUACCGGGUGAUAAAUUAUCUCCUGACGGAAAAGGAGAAUUCGAAGUUACCGGACUGAACCCGGGCUCAGAGUACAAGUUCAGAGUCACAGCCGUUAACAACGAAGGUGACUCUGAGCCUCUUGUUUCCGAACGACCGACUUUAGCUAAGAAUCCAUUUGACACACCCGGCAAACCAGGGUUGCCUGAAAUCGUCGAUUACGACAACAAGGGUGUCGAUCUCAAAUGGACCGCCCCAUCAAAUGAUGGAGGUGCUCCAAUAGAAAAAUACAUUAUCGAAAAGAAAGAUCGUUACAAGCCUGAUUGGGAAAAGGCUAUUGAAGUGCCCGGUGAUCAAUUGCAAGCCAGAGUUGAAGACCUUAAAGAACGAGGAGAGUAUCAAUUUCGAGUAAUAGCCGUGAACAAAGCUGGACCAGGCACACCAUCUGAUGCUUCCCAAAUGCAAAUAAUCAAACAUAGAUCACUUAAACCUAGAAUCGAUAGAACCAAUCUAAAACCAAUCAUAGUACGUGCCGGAAAACCAAUUAAAUAUGACAUUGAUGUCAGAGGCGAACCUCCACCAACUUGCACGUGGUUCCAAGUAGAUACCGAACUGAAAUCCGAAGGCAACAUCGAAAUCAUUAACGUAGACUAUAAUACUAAACUUAAUAUUACUAACGCCGUCCGUAAAAAUACAGGUCUUUAUAAAAUUAAAGCAGUAAACGAACAUGGUUCGGACGAAGCUGAAGUCGAAGUUACCGUACUUUCGGCACCAGGGAAACCAAAGGGCCCACUUAAAGUGUCUGACGUCACAAAGGGUGGAUGCAAAUUGAAGUGGGAGAAGCCAGAGGACGAUGGUGGCAAACCAGUAACCGGUUACCAAGUGGAGAAAUUAGAUAAAGCUACCGGCAGAUGGGUGCCUGUAGGACGUACAGGUCCUAACGACACCGAACUGGAUGUUAAAGGUUUGACUGAAGGCCACGAGUACGAUUUCAGAGUGAAGGCCAUUAAUGACGAAGGCGAAUCUGAGCCUUUGGAAACGGACAGUUCCAUUAUCGCUAAGAACCCGUAUGACAUUCCUGGAAAACCAGGCACACCAGAAAUUACAGACUGGGAUGCAGAUAGGGUUGAUCUCAAAUGGACUGCUCCGAAAAGUUCAGGAGGUGCGCCGAUUACCGGCUAUGUUAUUGAGAAAAAAGAAAAAUUCUCCACUUCGUGGGACGAGAUUCUCAGCACCGACUCUCCGACUUGUGAAGCUAGAGUUCCUGGACUAAAAGACGGUAAUACUUACCAAUUCAGGGUACGAGCUGUAAACAAAGCCGGACCUGGUGAACCAUCCGAUGCAACUGGUCAACACGUUGCGAAAGCCAGGCACUUACGCCCAAUGAUUAACAGAGAAAAACUACAUACUGUAAAAGUUCGUGCAGGACAAUUAGUGAGGUUUGACGUAGACGUCAAAGGUGAACCACCACCGACAUGCACAUGGAGCUUUGCCCACAAACCUUUAGAAAAUAGCCCUACCGUUAAAAUCGAAAAUGAGGACUAUAACACUAAACUUACUCUCUCCGACACCAAGAGAAAAGAUACAGGAACAUACACUCUAAAGGCUGAAAACGAUUCCGGAUUUGACGAAGCUACUGUAGAAGUAAUAAUCUUAGACAAACCUGGUAAACCAGAAGGGCCUCUAGAAGUAAGCGACGUGCACAAGGAAGGCUGCAAACUAAAAUGGGACAAGCCCAAAGAUGACGGUGGCCUCCCUAUUACCGGAUACGUUGUUGAAAAACAAGAUACUCAAACCGGAAGAUGGGUUCCCGCUGGAUUUGUAGAUGCGGACAAAACUGACCAUGAAAUCACUGGCUUGGAACCAAACAAGAAGUACAACUUUAGAGUGAAGGCUGUUAACGAAGAAGGGGAAUCAGAGCCUUUAGAAACCGACACUGCUACGUUGGCCAAAAAUCCUUAUGACAUAUCUGCACCUCCUGGCUUACCAGAAAUCGUCGACUGGGAUGAGCAUUCAGUAAAACUUAAGUGGGAUAAACCCGUCAGAGAUGGAGGUACUCCUAUUACUGGAUAUGUUAUUGAGGCCAUGGAUAAAUUCACCGGUCAAUUCGUUAAAGUUGCUGAAGUUGGACCACAAUGCCAAGGCACAGUUGGCAAACUGGAGGAAGGAAAUCAAUACAAAUUUAGGGUACGAGCUAUAAAUAAGGCUGGACCGUCAGAACCUUCAGAACAGACUAACUGGCAUACAGCUAAAGCCAGAUUCCUUAAGCCCUUAAUCGAUCGCACCAACCUGAAACCAUUAACUGUUAAGGCAGGUCUUUCUAUCAGCUUGGACGUGAAUAUUCAAGGUGAACCUCCACCAAAGGUAACAUGGUUAUACGAUGGCAAGGAAAUUGAAUCCACUGAAGAACUCCGCAUCGACAACGUCGAUUAUAACACCAAAUUCUUCGUUCUCAAAUCCAAGAGAUCCCAAUCUGGAAAAUACACUAUCAUUGCAAAGAAUGAAGUUGGCGAAGACCAAGCUGAAAUCGAAAUUUCUAUUCUUGGAAAGCCAUCUGCUCCUAAAGGACCUUUAGAUGUAACCGAUGUAACUAAACAUGGUUGCAAGCUCAAAUGGAAGAAACCUGAUGAUGAUGGUGGUACUCCAAUUGAUCAUUACGCAAUCGAAAAGCUCGAUCCAACAACUGGUCAAUGGAUACCCUGUGGAAGAAGUACUGAACCAGAAGCAAAUAUAACUGGCUUACAAGAGGGCAAACCUUACAAAUUCAGAGUUAAGGCUGUAAAUAAAGAGGGCGAAUCAGAACCUCUUGAAACAGAAAAGUCUAUAAUAGCUAAAAAUCCCUUUGAUGAACCUAGUAAACCUGGCCGUCCCGAUCUUAAAAACUGGGAUAAAGACUUUGUUGAACUGGCAUGGAAAGCACCCGUCAGCGAUGGAGGUGCUCCAAUUCAGAAGUACAUCAUCCAAAUGCACGACAAAGCUGGCCGAGGCUGGGUUGAUGCUGCUACUGUACCUGGAGAUAAAACUGCUGGACGUGUAGACACGGUAGAAGAAGGACACGAAUACGAAUUCAGAAUUGUUGCUGUAAAUAAAGCAGGACCAAGCGAACCUAGCGAUCCAUCGAAACCUGUUAUUGCCAAACCCCGAUUCUUGGCACCCAAAAUUGAUCGUAAGAAUCUCACAAAGAAAGUGCUCCGUCCUGGUCAGCUACUUCGUCUGGAAGCUGAUGUUAAAGGUGAACCUCCACCAACAGUUACCUGGACUUUGAAGGAACAAACUUUAAGAAACAAUGACCGGCUCAAAAUCGACAAUGAAGAUUAUCACACUAGUUUUGUGCUACAAAAAGUCCAAAGAAGUGAUACUGGUACAUACGUAGUUACUGCUAGGAACGACUCUGGAGUAGAUACAGUAGAAGUGGAACUACAAGUAGUCACUAAGCCUUCCAAGCCCAAAGGACCACUCAAAGUAUCAGAUGUAUCUGCGGAAGGCUGCAAACUUAAAUGGGAAGCUCCAGAAGACGACGGUGGUGAGCCAGUGACCGGCUAUGUAGUUGAAAGAAUGGACGUUGAAACCGGAAGAUGGGUUCCUGUAACUACUACAAAAACUCCAGAGGCAGACGUAACCGGCCUGAACGAAGGCAAGGACUAUCAAUUCCGCGUGAAAGCUGUUAACUCUGAAGGUGAAUCUGAACCACUAGUAACUGAUGAACCUACAACAGCGAAAAAUCCUUACACCGAGCCUGACGCCCCUGGAAAACCUGAACUUAAAGACUGGACCAAAGACCAUGCAGAUCUCAAAUGGACUCCACCGAAGAACGACGGCGGAGCGCCUGUAGAAAAAUAUAUUAUUGAAAAGAAAGAUCCGAUCACAGGAAAAUGGCACAAAGCCGUCGAAGUACCCGGAAACAAAACCGAAGCAAGGGUACCUGACUUGCAGGAAGGACAGAAAUAUUCAUUUAGAGUUAAGGCAGUUAACAAAGGAGGUGAGAGUAAACCUUCUGAAGCUUCCGACACAAUUACUGCCAAAGACAGAUUUGUUCCACCCAAGAUUGAUCGUAGUACACUAAGAGACCUGACUGUUAAAGCCGGACAACAUAUACGUCUGGAUGUUAAAGUUUCUGGAGAACCUCCACCAUCAAAAACAUGGUUCUUGAAUAAAGCACGUAUUGAAAACAGAGACGAUAUUAACGUGGAUGUCGAGGAUUACAGAACAAAAUUAGUUAUUGGAGUAGCUAAGAGAGAACAUACAGGAACUUUAGUAUUGAAAGCUGAAAAUAGUUCCGGAAGAGAUGAAGCUAGUAUCGAAAUUAAAGUAUUAGACAAACCUGGAAAACCAGAAGGACCUUUGCGAAUUAGUGACGUGCAUAAAGAAGGAUGUUCUCUCAAAUGGAACGCCCCUCUAGAUGAUGGUGGUGUACCAAUUGAUUAUUACCAAGUAGAGAAAUUAGAUACAGCUACUGGCCGCUGGGUACCUGCCGGACGAGCCAAAGAACCCAAAAUUGCUCUUGACAAUUUAGAACCUGGCCAAGAAUACAAAUUCCGAGUAUCUGCAGUUAACGCCGAGGGCGAGUCUGAGCCUCUCGAAGCAGAACAAACAAUUGUCGCUAAAAAUCCCUUCGAUGAACCUGGAGCUCCUGGAACUCCUGAAGUAGUAGACUGGGACAAAGAUCAUGUUGACUUAAGAUGGACUCCACCAGCAAAUGAUGGUGGAUCUCCAAUCACCGGAUACAUUAUCGAAAAAAGGGAGAAGGGAUCGCCAAAAUGGACAAAGGCUGGUGAAACCGGUCCAUUCGAGACCAAAGGAACAGCUGACAAUUUAGACGAAGGCGUCGAAUAUGAAUUUAGGGUCAGAGCUGUUAAUGCUGCAGGACCAGGAGAACCUAGUCAAGCCUCUAAGUCCGUUACUACCAAACCAAGAAGACUGGCUCCUAAAAUUGAUCGUCGUAAUCUCCAUAAUCUGACGGUCAAAGAAGGAGAACCUAUUUAUAUAGACGUAAAAGUUAGCGGUGAACCUGCUCCUGAUGUCACAUGGUACCAAGAAGGACGUACUAUCACGGAUUCCACACACAAGCGUGUUGACAACGUUCCUUACAACUCCAAAUUCUUCAACGAUAAACCCGAGCGCAAGGAUAGUGGAGUUUACAAAAUCGUCGCUGUCAACAAAUAUGGUCAAGAUCAAGUAGAGAUUGAUAUUACAGUAGUUUCAAAACCAGGACAACCUGAAGGACCCUUAGAGGUAUCAGAUAUCCAUAAAGAUGGAUGUACAUUGAAGUGGAAGCGACCAAAGGACGACGGUGGUGAACCAGUAGAAAAUUAUGUAGUAGAAAAGUUAGACCCAGAAACUGGAAUUUGGUUGCCUGUAGGUAAAACUAAUGGAGCCAUACCCGAGAUGAAGGUAGAUGGAUUAGUUCCCGGACACGAUUAUAAAUUCAGAGUUAAAGCUGUUAACAAAGAAGGUGAAUCAGAACCUCUGGAAACUAUUGGGACGAUCACUGCUAAAGAUCCAUACACUACCGCUGCUAAACCCGGUACUCCAGAACCUGAAGACUGGUCGGCAAAUCACGUUGACCUGAAAUGGACUGAGCCUGUGUCAGAUGGUGGCUCUCCUAUUACCGGAUAUAUCAUAGAAAUGAAAGACAAAUACAGUCCCCUAUGGGAAAAAGCAGUUGAAACUACUAGCCCCUCACCAAAAGCCACAGUCACUGGUUUAAUUGAAGGCAAUGAAUAUCAGUUUAGAGUCAUCGCCGUUAAUGCUGCAGGCCAAAGUCCUGCUUCAGACGCUAGCAAGAUCUUCGUAGCCAAACCUAGAUUUUUGGCUCCAAAGAUUGACAGACGCUAUUUACAUGACGUUACCAUAUCAGCAGGAUCUCCACUUAAAUUCGAGGCUAAUAUUAUUGGUGAACCUCCACCAACAGUUGAAUGGCGUUUUAAUGGUAGUACUUUAAGAAAUGACAAACGAACGACAAUUGACAACGUUGAUUACAACACUAAAAUUGCUAUUCGUCCAGUAGGCCGGGAUGAUACCGGUCAGUAUACUGUUACAGCAACAAAUAGCUCUGGAAAGGAUAGUCACACAAUUAAUGUCACUGUUACUGACAAACCAACACCACCACAAGGACCGUUACAAAUUUCUGACGUUAACAAGAACGGGUGCAAACUUAAAUGGAAAAGACCAAAGGAUGAUGGUGGCACUCCAGUAGAAUAUUACCAAAUCGACAAAAUGGACCCCGAAACUGGUUGUUGGGUUCCCUGUGGCAGAGCUACAGAACCUAACUUUGAAGUUACCGGUCUCACUCCAAACCACGAAUACAAAUUCAGAGUAGCGGCAGUGAAUGCUGAAGGUGAAUCAAAACCACUAGAAGCAGAAGAAACGAUCAUUGCAAAGAAUCCAUUCGAUGAACCUGGACCGCCAGGACAUCUUAAAGCUACCGAUUGGGACAAAGAUCAUGUAGAUCUAGAAUGGACACCUCCAAAAGAUGACGGUGGGUCUCCAGUUACUGGAUAUAUCAUUGAAAAGAAAGACAAAUUUGGAGAUUGGGAAAAAGCUCUUGAAGUUCCUGCGGAUAAGUUUAAAGCAACAGUACCGGAUCUAAUUGAAGGCCAACCCUAUCAAUUCAGAGUCCGUGCUGUCAACGCUGCUGGUCCUGGAGACCCAAGCAACGAAACGCCUACAAUUAUUGCUAAGGCGCGCAAUUUGGCACCGAAGAUUGACAGGACGAACUUAAUCGAAGUAAAAAUUCGCGCCGGUCAAAACUUUGCGUACGACGUUAAAGUUUCUGGCGAGCCAAUGCCAGCUACUAAAUGGCUAUUAAAGGGUAAAGAAAUUAAAUCUGGCCCCAACUGCAAAGUUCAGCAUUUAGACUACAACACAAAACUAUCUAUACGUAAUGCUACCAGAGCUGAUUCUGGUACGUACACGGUAACAGCUGAAAAUGCCAACGGAAAAGACAUUGCUGAAGUUGAAGUUACCGUUCUCGACGUCCCUAGCCCACCAGGUGGCCCUCUAAAAGUAUCUGAUGUUCACGCUAAAGGUUGUAAACUUAGUUGGAGACCACCAGCAGAUGAUGGUGGUCAGCCCGUUGAAAAUUACGUAGUAGAAAAAAUGGACGAAGCUAGUGGAAGGUGGGUUCCAGUGGGUGAAACUGAGGGACCGCAAACAUCAAUAAAUGUCGAUGGUCUAACACCGGGCCACAAGUACAAAUUUAGAGUUCGCGCCCAAAACCGUCAAGGAAAAUCCGAACCCUUGACGACGUCCCAAGCAAUCGAAGCUAAAAAUCCAUUCGACGAACCUGGUAAGACCAGCGCACCGGAGAUUACUGACUAUGACAGCGAUUUCGUCGAACUGAAAUGGGAUAAGCCAGAAAACGAUGGUGGCUCUCCAAUCACUGGCUAUAUUAUCGAAAAACGAGAUAAGUUUAAUCCGAGUUGGGAAAAAUGCGCAGAAGUCGAAGGAGACGUGCCCAAGGGUAAGGUCAAGGACCUUAUCGAAGGUACUCCAUAUGAAUUCAGGAUCAGAGCUGUAAAUAAAGCCGGACCUGGCGAACCUAGCGACGCAUCCAAGAUCCAUGUCGCUAGACCCAAGAACCUUCCACCUAAAAUCGACAGAAAUGCCUUAUUUGAUCUUAAAGUUAAAGUGGGACAGUCAAUCGAAUUUAACGUCCCUGUUAUCGGUGAACCACCACCAAGCAAAGAAUGGUUACAUAAAGAUAAUGUAUUAUUCAACACAGACCGUGUUAAAAUAACUAACGAAGAUUACAAGACCCACAUUAAGAUUACAGAUGCCCAAAGAGCAGACAGUGGUCCAUACACCUUAACCGUUAAAAAUAUCAACGGAAAAGAUACAGCCACUGUAAAGGUAACAGUUCUGGAUGUUCCUACACCACCAGAAGGUCCUCUUAGAGCUGAUAACGUUACUAAGUCAUCGUUAACUCUGAGCUGGAAACCACCAAAAGAUGACGGAGGUUCCGAAAUUUCCCAUUACCAAGUUGAAAAACUUGAUACUGAAAACAUGAGAUGGGUACCUGUAGGUGAUUCGGUUGGAACAACAAUGAGAGUUCCAAAUCUGACUGAAGGACAUGAUUACCAGUUCAGAGUUCGAGCAGUAAAUAAACAGGGGGAAUCAGCUCCACUCACCACCACUGAAAGUAUUACAGCAAAAGAUCCAUUUAGUAAACCUGACAGACCUGGUGCUCCUAAACCCACAGACUGGGACAAAGAUCAUGUGGAUCUUGAAUGGACUCCGCCAAGAAAAGAUGGCGGUGCACCUAUUACAGAGUAUAUUAUCGAAAAGAGACCUAAACACGGGACAUGGGAAGAAGCAGCUAGAGUUCCCGGAAACAGUACUAAGGGAACUGUUCCUAAUCUAACUGAAGGAGAAGAAUAUGAAUUCAGGAUAAUAGCGGUAAACAAAGGAGGUCACAGUGAACCCAGUGAGGCCUCAAUUCCAGUUAUUGCCAAGCCCAGAUUUUUGGCUCCGUCCUUUAAUAAGAGUUUAUUGGAAGACAUUACCAUCAAAGUUGGUCAACGAUUUGGCUGGACGAUUCCAAUCGAAGCUGCUCCAAAACCAACAGCUAAGUGGACUGUAAAUGGCAAAGAAAUACCUGUUUCUGAUAGAGUAGAUCAUGCUGUUUACAACAACAAAGUCUCAUUUGACGUUUCGUCUGCAGUGAGAGCUGAUGCCGGUAGAUAUACGUUAACUCUCAGCAACGACUUGGGAAGCUUUAGUGCUUCUGCACAAGUCACAGUAUUAGAUAAACCAGGCCCACCGCAACCACCAUUAGAUGUGGGUAGCGUUACUAAAGACAGCGCAAGAAUUUCCUGGAAACCACCACUUGACGACGGUGGUUCACCGAUUCUUCAUUACAUCGUGGAGAAAAUGGACGUUUCUCGUGGAACUUGGUCUGAUGCUGGAAUGGCUACAAUCACUUCCCAUGAUAUCACCCGAUUAAUUCACAAGAAAGAAUACUACUUCCGUGUUAAGGCUGUAAAUGCAGUAGGCGAAUCUGAACCACUCGAAACACCUAGAAGCAUCAUUGCCAAAAACGAAUUUGAUGAACCUAGUGCUCCUGGAAAACCGGCAGUUACUGACUGGGAUAAAGAUCACGUAGACUUAGAAUGGACACCACCAAAGAACGACGGUGGUUCUCCCAUCACUGGUUAUAUCGUACAAAAGAAAGAGAAGGGAAGUCCAUAUUGGACAAAUGCCGUCCAUGUGCCAGCAAGGAAGACUGGUUGCACUGUCCCUGAUCUAACAGAAGGCCAAGAAUACGAAUUUAGAGUUAUAGCAACAAAUACUGCUGGCCAGAGUGAACCAUCUGAACCCUCUGAUCUUGUAACAGCUAAAGCCAGAUUUUUGGCACCGAAAAUCAAAACACCGCUCAACGAUAUCCGUAUUAAGGCUGGACUUAUCUUACACAUUGACAUCGACUUCAUUGGAGAACCAUGCCCUGAAGUCACAUGGACCGUUGGAGGAAAUCCUCUUGUUGCUGACGACCGCACAACGGUAACCUCAAUUGGAUAUCAUACCGUAAUACAUACGGUAAACGCUAAAAGAUCGAAUAGCGGUUUGUAUCAUAUUUUGCUCAAGAAUAAUUCAGGUAUAGAUGAAGGUUCAUUCCAAGUGACUGUUCUGGAUCGGCCGGGACCACCUCAAGGACCUUUGGAAUAUGAAGAAGUAACAGCUCAAAGUGUUACUCUUUCGUGGAAACCACCUAAAGAUAACGGUGGAAGUGAAAUUACGGGAUAUGUAAUUGAAAAACGUGAUUUGACUCAUGGAGGAGGUUGGGUACCAGCUGUUAACUACGUUAAUCCCAAAUACAACCACGCUAUUGUACCGAGACUACUGGAAGGAACUAAAUAUGAAUUUAGAGUUUUCGCUGAAAACUUACAAGGAAGAUCAGAACCUCUUGAAACUGAAAAACCAGUAGUAGCCAAAAAUCAAUACGAUGUACCCGGAAAACCAGGCAAGCCUGAACUGGUUGACAGUGACAAAGAUCAUAUCAAGAUUAAAUGGACUGCGCCGAUAAGCAACGGUGGCUCACCUAUUCUAGGCUAUGAUAUCGAACGCCGUGAUAGAGCUACCGGCAGAUGGGUGAAACUUAACAAAGAACCCGUAAGAAGUCAAGAAUAUUACGAUGAUCGUGUACAAGAAGGUCAUCAGUACGAAUAUAGAGUAUCGGCAGUAAAUGCCGCAGGAAACGGCAAGCCUAGUGACGCGUCCAACGCAUUUAUUGCUAAACCAAUGAAGGAAAAACCGAAGUUGUGGCUCGAUGGAAUUAUUGGAAGAAAAAUUAAAGUCCGGGCUGGAGAACCGAUCAAUAUUGAUAUCCCACUUUCAGGUGCACCAGCUCCAAAAGUGGAAUGGAUUAAAAAUAAAUUGCAAGUUCCCGAAAGCAGCAGAGUAUAUACUGAAACUAAUAGUGAACACACCAGAUUCCGUGUUGAGGCAUCUAACAGGGCUGAUUCAGGAACCUACACGGUCCGAGCUAAAAACGAAUUUGGCUCUGACGAAGCCGAUAUCGAAGUUAUUGUCGUUGAUAAGCCAGGAAUACCGAAAGGCCCGCUUCAGUACACUGCAACGACCCAAGACUCUGUUUCUCUAUCUUGGAACCCACCAGAAGAUGACGGUGGUGGAGAUAUCACCGGUUACAUCGUAGAAAUUUCUGAAUACGGCACUGAUUUAUGGCGACCCUGUCCUGGGUUCUGUCCCAGACCAUCGUUCACCGCUAGAGGUCUAACCGAAGGCAAGAAAUAUGUAUUCAGAGUGCGCGCCGAAAAUAUUUAUGGAGUUUCAGAGCCUCUCGAAGGAAAACCAGUUGUAGCUAAGAGUCCGUUUGAUCCACCAGGCCCACCAAGCCAGCCAGAAGUUACUGGUUACACACCUAACUCCUGUUCACUCAGAUGGAAUCCUCCGGUAUCUACCGGUGGAAAGCCUAUUAGUGGAUAUAUCGUUGAAAAACGUGAACGUGGUGGUGAUUGGAUUAAAGUUAACAACUACCCAACUCCAAACGCACAGUACACUGUCCAGGAUUUGCGUGAAGGAAACAAGUAUGAAUUCCGUGUAACUGCUGUUAAUGAAGCAGGCCCUGGAGAACCAAGUAAGCCAACUGAACCGAUAAUUGCUCAACAUCAAAGAUUCAAACCUUCGGCUCCAGAACCACCAAAAGCCGAUCGCAUUACUAAAGAUAGUGUCACCUUGUCAUGGAGACCACCAAAGAGCGAUGGAGGUUCAAGACUUAAGGGAUACAUAUUACAACAACGUCCUAAAGGCUCUAAUGACUGGACAGAUGUGAACGCUUUACCUAUCAAUGACACUGUCUAUACCGUUCCACGGCUUAAGGAAGGAGAAGAAUACCAAUUUAGGGUUAUUGCUGUUAACGAUGUAGGAAACUCUGAACCUAGUAGACCAAGUAAUCCAAUCCUUAUCGAAGAACAACCAAACAAACCUUGCAUGGAUUUGGGUGGUGUCCGAGAUAUUACAGUACGCGCUGGGGAAGAUUUCAGUAUACACGUUCCGUACAUUGGAUUCCCCAAACCAACCGCGGCGUGGUUUGCAAAUGACAAACUUCUUGACGAAUCAGACAAUCGUAUAUUCCCGCAAUUAGCUGAUGAUUACGCUAGCAUCAUUGUGAAGAACUCUAAACGCUCUGACACUGGGCAGUACAGGUUACAACUCAAGAAUCCAUCUGGAUUUGACACUGCAACUAUUAACGUCAGAGUUCUUGACAGACCCGGCAAACCUGAAAACCUACGAGCUGAUGAAUUUGCCGGUGAUGCACUUACUCUAUACUGGCAACCACCUAAAGAUAACGGUGGUGCUGAUAUCACCAAUUACAUCGUUGAAAAGAAAGAAGCUAAGUCAUCCACAUGGACUAAAGUUAGCAGUUACGUUACUGUUCCAUUUGUUAGGAUCAGAAACUUGACACUAGGAAAGGAAUACGACUUCAGAGUCAUUGCUGAAAAUCAAUACGGCCAAUCCGAACCGGCUGUCACUUCAGAACCAAUUCGUGCAAGACAUCCAUUUGAUCCACCAGGUGCCCCAGGAACGCCUAGAGGAAUUGACUCGAGCGAAGAUUCAAUUACCAUUCAAUGGACGAAGCCGCGACAUGAUGGCGGCUCACCAAUCACUGGAUAUGUUAUUGAGAAACGUCUAAUAACGGAAGACAAAUGGACUAAAGCUUCCCAUGCUCUUGUACCUGAUUUAGAUCUUAAAGUAAUCAACUUAAUUGAAAAUCACGAAUAUGAAUUCAGAGUAGCGGCUGUUAAUGCCGCUGGUCAAGGCCCAUGGAGUUCUGCGUCAGAUGCCAUUUGUGCUAGAGCUCCACCAUCCGCACCAAAAAUAACAUCAGAUUUAAGUAUCAGAGACAUAAUUGUUAUCGCGGGUGAAGAACUGAGAAUCACUGUUCCUUACGUUGCAACACCAAAACCGAAAGAAUCCUGGACUAUUAACGGUAAUGAGGUUUCUGGCGAUGAUAGAAUCAAAUUGGAAACUACCGAUAUCGCUUCGAUAUUUUAUAACAAAUCCGCCAAACGUUCUGAUACAGGAAGCUAUACAAUUAAACUUACCAAUUCAAUGGGUUCCGACUCUGCUUCUUGUAGAGUACUUGUUGUAGACAGACCACAGCCACCUCAAGGUCCUCUUGACAUUUCCGAUGUGACACCUGAUAACUGUUCACUAGCAUGGAGACCUCCUCUAGAUGACGGCGGUUCACCUAUAACAAAUUACAUUGUUGAAAAACUAGAUACAAACGGCAUAUGGGUUAAAGUGAGCAGUUUUGUACGCAACACGCAUUACGAUGUUAUGAGUCUAGAACCGAAUAAGAAAUACAGCUUUAGAAUCCGAGCAGAAAAUCAGUAUGGCAUCAGUGAUCCAUUGGAGAGUGCUGAGCCUGUUAUUGCUAAAUAUCCGUUCACUAUACCCGAACCUCCAGGACCACCUCGUGUUGUCGACUGGGAUAGCAAUACCAUCAAUCUUGUAUGGGACCGUCCAAGCCACGAUGGUGGAUCUCGUAUUCAAGGAUAUAAACUUGAAUUCAGAGACGUUCGUGACACGCACUGGGUGAGCGCUAGCGAUUACCUCAUCAAAGACACUCACUUUGACUUGUACAACAUGGUUACCGGACAAGAGUAUGAAUUCAGAGUUCGUGCUAAAAACGCUGCAGGUUUUAGCAAACCUUCAGCUUCAUCAUCCAGAUUUAAACUCAAGGGUAAAUUUAACGUACCAUCUCCUCCACGCAAUCCGAAGGUUGUCAAUGUCGGUAAAGGCUACGUCGAUCUUACUUGGGAACCACCAAGUUCAGACGGGGGAUCCCGAAUUACUGGCUAUAUCAUUGAAAAACGCGAAAUUGGAAGUCCAUUGUGGACGAAGUGUAAUGACUAUAACGUUACAGAUACAAAUUACACUGUGCUUAAUUUACACGACCAGUCCGAAUAUGAAUUCAGGAUAUCAGCUGUGAACGCUGCUGGUAAAGGUGAACCCAGUACAUGUACUGCUCCUGUUAAAGUAUGCGAAGUUCUUGGAGGAGAGAAGCCUGAUUGGGUGCGUAGACUACAAAAUACCUCGGCGCCUCUUGGCAAAUCUGUUAGCUUAGAGUGCGAAGCUACUGGCAAACCUGAACCAACCUUCCGUUGGUUGAAGAAUGGCCGCGAAAUUCAAUUAGGUGGACGAUUUAGAAUGGAAAGUAAAAAUGGAACGGCAUGGCUGCACAUAUCUGAUUUAUUGGACGUUGAUGAUGGAGAUUAUACUUGUGAAGCAAGUAACUCCUUAGGCGCUGUUACCACCACAGCUCGUCUUAAGAUUGGAAAUCCGCCAAGAAUUGAAAGACUACCUGGAGAUUUGUACUUGGCCGAAGGUGAUAAUACAAAGAUCAAGAUAUAUUAUUCUGGAGACCAGCCUUUGGACGUCAGCUUGUCAAAGAACGGCCAGAAGAUUGAUGAUGAUUCUCACAUCCGCUUUACGGUGUUUGACGAUUACAUCAUAAUCUUUAUAAAGGACAUUAAGAAAUCUGACGCUGGAAGCUACAAUCUUACUGUUAAGAAUGACAGUGGAAGCGCAUCUGGAAGCUUCCCUGUAUACAUCACUGGUUUACCCGGACCACCGAAUGGACCUCUUGAAACUACAGAUAUUACUAAACACACUUGCACGCUUAGCUGGAAACCACCAAGCUAUGACGGAGGACUUCGUGUAACACACUACGUUGUAGAAAGGAAAGACAUUACUGGCACACACUGGAUAACCGUUUCCAGUUCAUGUAGAGACACAUCAUUUACUGUCCAAGGUCUAACUGAAGGACAGGAAUAUCUCUUCAGAGUCAUGGCUGUUAACGAUAAUGGAAUGGGACCACCAUUAGAAGGAGUUAACCCUGUUCGGGCUAAAGCACCAUUCGACCCACCGUCACCACCUGGCAUACCUGUCGUUACACAAGUCGGAGGAGAUUUCGUCAACCUUGAAUGGACUAAACCCGAAAACGAUGGAGGAGCUCGUGUACAAGGAUACUGGAUAGACAAGCGAGAAGUUGGUCAACUUGCUUGGCAACGAGUUAACGUAUCGCUUUGCCUACCUACACAAAUCAACAUAUCCAAUCUUAUCGAAGGUCGUCAAUAUGAAUUCAGGGUUUUCGCCCAGAACAUUGCUGGUCUUUCUGAACCAUCAUCAGCUUCGACAUCGGUUGUUAUUAAAGACCCACUAGCUCCAACGCCUCCAGAAAUCAUCAGACCAUUGAAGAACGCUCAGUGCAUCCAAAAUCACAAUGCCAAAUUCGAGUGUACUAUAACUGGUGUACCUGCCCCUACAAUUACGUGGUACAAGGGAGCCAGAGAAAUUACUAAUGGUUCACGUUAUCACAUCUACAGCGAAGGAGAGGUCCAUCAUCUUGUCAUCCAUGACGUAUUCGGAGAAGACGCCGACGAAUACGUGUGCAGAGCUGCUAACAAGGCUGGAGUUAAAUCUACUAGAGCUGAAUUAUUAAUAAUGACUGCGCCCAAACUGAACAUUCCACCACGAUUCCGUGACACUGCAUACUUUGAUAAAGGCGAGAACGUCAUUAUUAAGAUUCCGUUUACUGGUUUCCCCAGGCCUAAAAUUACCUGGGUUAGAGAAGGUGAAGUUAUCGAAUCCGGAGGUCACUAUCACGUUGAAGUUAAAGACAGGCAUGCAAUCCUUACUAUUCGUGACGCAAGCAAGUUAGACAGCGGGCCAUACAGAAUUACAGCGGAAAAUGAGCUUGGCCAAGAUACUGCUAUUAUUAAAAUUCAAAUCGCCGAUCGUCCUGACCCUCCAAGGUUCCCAGCUGUCGAUAAUAUUGGUACUGAUUCUCUGGCAUUAUCAUGGAAGGCUCCUGUUUGGGAUGGAGGUAGUAACAUCACUAAUUACAUGGUGGAGAGACGGGAACACCCUCUUUCUACUUGGAUUCGCGUCGGUAAUACUCGAUUAACCACCAUGGCUGUUAGCGGAUUAACUCCAGGACACCAAUAUGAAUUCAGAGUUUACGCAGAAAACAUUUACGGGCGGUCUGAUCCAUCCGAAGUUAGUACGCUGAUUACCAUGAAAGACACUGCCAAGAAGAAGGUGGAGAAAAGGAAAUAUGAAGUGGACGAAACCGGCAAAAAGAUUAGAGAAUCUCAUAAGGAACCUAUCAAAGACUAUGACAACUACGUCUUUGAUAUAUACUCUAAAUUCGUUCCUCAGCCCGUUGAAAUCAAAACUCGCAGCGUAUACGACGAUUACGAUAUUUUAGAAGAAAUUGGCACAGGCGCAUUCGGAGUGGUUCACAGAUGUCGUGAACGUAAGACUGGCAACAUAUUUGCCGCUAAAUUCAUUCCCGUGUCGCACGCAAUGGAAAAAGAACUGAUCCGCAAGGAAAUUGACAUCAUGAACCAGCUUCAUCACCCUAAACUGAUCAAUCUUCACGACGCCUUUGAGGAUGACGACGAGAUGGUUCUUAUUUACGAAUUCCUAUCUGGCGGUGAACUCUUUGAACGCAUUACUGCCGAAGGCUACACUAUGUCGGAGGCUGAAGUUAUUAAUUACAUGAGACAGAUUUGCGAAGGCAUCAAACAUAUGCACGAAAAGAAUAUUAUUCAUUUAGAUAUUAAGCCAGAGAACAUCAUGUGUCAAACACGUAAAGGCACAAAUAUUAAACUUAUCGAUUUUGGACUGGCUACGAAAUUAGAUCCCAACGAAGUGGUUAAGAUCUCAACUGGCACAGCUGAAUUUGCUGCUCCAGAAAUUGUUGAAAGGGAACCAGUUGGAUUCUAUACUGACAUGUGGGCGGUAGGUGUCCUGGCUUACGUUUUGCUUAGUGGCUUAUCACCAUUCGCUGGUGAAAACGACAUCGAAACGCUUAAGAACGUCAAGGCUUGCGAUUGGGACUUUGAUGAAGAAGCAUUUUCCAAUGUCUCGGAGGAAGGAAAAGAUUUCAUUCGUAGACUACUCCUUAAGAAUAAAGAGAAACGUAUGACAGCUCAAGAGUGUCUUUUACACGCCUGGCUUUCCGGUGACCAUAGCGACAGGACCAGUUCAAUUGACCAAUCGAAAUAUUUGAGUCUUAGAGACAGAAUCCGCGCCAAAUAUGAUGCAUGGGACUCAUUUGCCCUUCCAAUUGGACGCUUAUCAGAAUACUCUUCAUUGCGUAAACUGCUUAUUGAAAAAUACAAAAUCCACGACACAUAUUUCGAUCGCAGACAAGCUGCACCUCGAUUUGUUAUUAAACCUCAAAGUGCAUUCUGCUACGAAGGCCAAAGCGUCAAGUUCUACUGCAGAGUUAUUGGUGUUGCUGCACCUACAGUCAGUUGGUACCACAAUAAUGUCGAACUAAGACAGAGUGUCAAAUAUAUGAAACGAUAUGCUGGUGACGAUUAUUACUUUGUAAUUAACAGAGCUAAAUUAUCAGACCGGGGAGAAUAUAUUAUUAGGGCAGAAAAUCACUACGGAGCUAGAGAAGAAGUUGUGUUCCUUAACGUUCAACCACUGCCAACAGUUGUCCCAGAAUACAAACCUGAAGCCCCAGUAAUCCGAAGACGAGAACCUUUACCGUACACCUUCUGGCAAGAAGAACAAGAGUGCGCUCCCAGCUUCACGUUCUUACUCAGACCCCGUGUCAUGCAAGAGCGAGACACCUGCAAGCUUUUAUGUUGCCUGAGCGGUAAACCCUUCCCUACAGUCAAAUGGUACAAAGACAAACGCGAGCUCAGUAAAUACGAAUACUCCAUGUCAAGUUCCGAUGGUGUGGUUACAAUGGAGAUCCAAGGUUGCAGACCGUCAGACUCUGGAAAAUAUACUUGCGUGGCUACGAACAAGCACGGACAAGACGAGACUUCUUGCGUGGUUAUCGUCGAAGGAGCGACCAGUACUGAAGAACAAACGAAAAUGGCGGAAAGAAUAUUACAUUCUGGAGACAGGAAGUACAUCGAGAACCCGAUUAAACCUGCACCGAUUCCAGUGACGAUCAAAAAACAAGUGACGCAACCUAAUCCUAUUCAACCGAGAUCGGCAAACGCUAGCACGAAUAGUUUGGCACACUCGUCGUCCACGCUUAGCGUGGGUGAUGGUGAGAGACGUCCUAGGAAAUAUGGUAGGUUAGAUUCAACCGGUAGCCCCAAUAGAUCUCGAAGUGCUACCAAGGAGCUUGCCCUUCCUCCAGAUUCCACCAUGGGACCCCCUCAAUUCACGAAAGGAUUGAACGACUUGACUGUAAAUGACGGAGAUAGUCUCACCCUAACAGCUCAUGUACAGGGUGAUCCAGAACCGCAAGUCGUAUGGACAAAGAACGGAAAACAACUGAGCUCAUCUGAAGUAAUCGAUCUCAAAUAUAAAAAUGGCAUCGCCAAAUUACACAUAAACGAAGUUUACCCUGAAGAUGAGGGAGCAUAUGUGUGCAAGGCUACAAAUUCGAUGGGAACAGCUGAUACCACUUGUAACCUGAAAAUUAAAAUGAUGGGUUCAUUGGAAUGAUAAGAAACUUUAACCCUUUUAAAGUACCUUGGAUUUAUAAAAUGAGCGUCAAUUAUUAACCAACCAAACCAACGGCAAAAAGAAGACGGAAGACAAGCCUCCAACGAUAGUGAGCCAUCUCGAGUCGGCUUUCGUGAAAGACGGUGAACCGGUGACGGUGUCCUGCCGCAUCAUCGGAGCAGACA